CGUCUAUAUACGUAUAGCAUAUCAAUAAGCGGAGGAAAAGAAACUAACAAGGAUUCCCUUAGUAACGGCGAGUGAAGCGGGAAGAGCUCAAAUUUGAAAUCUUCAAGGGUUUCCCUUGACGAAUUGUAGUUUAAAGAAGUGUUUUCUGUUAGAGAGGUGGUAAAAGUUCUUUGGAAUAGGACAUCAUAGAGGGUGAGAAUCCCGUAUUUGACCGUUACUUUCCAGCUGUGUGAUACACUUUCAAAGAGUCGGAUUGUUUGGGAAUGCAGUCCAAAAUGGGUGGUAAAUUUCAUCUAAAGCUAAAUAUUGGCGAGAGACCGAUAGCGAACAAGUACCGUGAGGGAAAGAUGAAAAGAACUUUGAAAAGAGAGUUAAACAGUACGUGAAAUUGUCAAAAGGGAAGCGUUUGACACCAGUGUUGUUUAGUUGAAAAUCAAUUCAAUAAUUUUUGAUUUUAAGUAGUAUUGACUUCAUCAGCUUGCUGCUUUCUUUUCAGGAAUUAUUGAAUGCACUUUUCAGUUAACAAGUCAACAUCAAUUUCUUUUGUUGUAAAAGGGUAAGAGGAAGGUGGCUUACGUUUCGGCGUAAGUGUUUAUAGCCUUUUACCUCUGCAAUCGGAGAGAUUGAGGCCAGCAGCGUAGACUCCUUCUGGGGUUAGAUGCAUUUGUGCUAAGUUAUAGCCAAGUAUAGACAACUUGUUGACUAUGCCUAGUCUUGUAGCUUACUCGCAGAUGUUAUUUUACCUACGCUUAGGAUGUUGAUAUGCAUGACUGAUAU
This 777-nucleotide ribosomal RNA is filed under the name uncultured Neocallimastigales. RNAcentral describes it as "partial large subunit ribosomal RNA". It matches the Rfam family "Eukaryotic large subunit ribosomal RNA", at positions 26 to 635 of the family's 3401-position model. Lineage: Eukaryota; Fungi; Neocallimastigomycota; Neocallimastigomycetes; Neocallimastigales. The record is from RNAcentral.